Molecule: ribosomal RNA, 571 nt
Filed under: Alternaria alternata
Lineage: Eukaryota; Fungi; Ascomycota; Dothideomycetes; Pleosporales; Pleosporaceae
Description: eukaryotic LSU rRNA
Rfam family: 5.8S ribosomal RNA (bases 196-349)
Source: RNAcentral
UCCGUAGGUGAACCUGCGGAGGGAUCAUUACACAAAUAUGAAGGCGGGCUGGAACCUCUCGGGGUUACAGCCUUGCUGAAUUAUUCACCCUUGUCUUUUGCGUACUUCUUGUUUCCUUGGUGGGUUCGCCCACCACUAGGACAAACAUAAACCUUUUGUAAUUGCAAUCAGCGUCAGUAACAAAUUAAUAAUUACAACUUUCAACAACGGAUCUCUUGGUUCUGGCAUCGAUGAAGAACGCAGCGAAAUGCGAUAAGUAGUGUGAAUUGCAGAAUUCAGUGAAUCAUCGAAUCUUUGAACGCACAUUGCGCCCUUUGGUAUUCCAAAGGGCAUGCCUGUUCGAGCGUCAUUUGUACCCUCAAGCUUUGCUUGGUGUUGGGCGUCUUGUCUCUAGCUUUGCUGGAGACUCGCCUUAAAGUAAUUGGCAGCCGGCCUACUGGUUUCGGAGCGCAGCACAAGUCGCACUCUCUAUCAGCAAAGGUCUAGCAUCCAUUAAGCCUUUUUUUCAACUUUUGACCUCAGGAUCAGGUAGGGAUACCCGCUGGACUUAAGCAUAUCAAUAAGCGGAGGA